This 460-nucleotide ribosomal RNA is filed under the name uncultured bacterium. RNAcentral's name for it is "partial 16S ribosomal RNA". It matches the Rfam family "Bacterial small subunit ribosomal RNA", at positions 338 to 795 of the family's 1533-position model. The record is from RNAcentral.
CCUACGGGUGGCAGCAGUGAGGAAUAUUGGUCAAUGGACGCAAGUCUGAACCAGCCAUGCCGCGUGCAGGAAGAAGGCUCUAUGAGUUGUAAACUGCUUUUGUACGAGGGUAAACGCAGAUACGCGUAUCUGUCUGAAAGUAUCGUACGAAUAAGGAUCGGCUAACUCCGUGCCAGCAGCCGCGGUAAUACGGAGGAUUCAAGCGUUAUCCGGAUUUAUUGGGUUUAAAGGGUGCGUAGGCGGUCGGAUAAGUUAGAGGUGAAAUGCCGUGGCUCAACCUCGGAAUUGCCUCUGAUACUGUUAGGCUAGAGAGUAGUUGAGGUAGGCGGAAUGUAUGGUGUAGCGGUGAAAUGCUUAGAGAUCAUACAGAACACCGAUUGCGAAGGCAGCUUACCAAGCUAUUUCUGACGUUGAGGCACGAAAGCGUGGGGAGCAAACAGGAUUAGAUACCCUUGUAGUC